ACGCCUAAUGGUAAAACUAUAAAAAUUUCAUCAUAACAACCAAAAAGAAUUAUAAGAGAUGAAUUAUGAUAGUUU
This 75-nucleotide small RNA is filed under the name unclassified sequences. RNAcentral describes it as "dfrA-dnaX RNA". It matches the Rfam family "dfrA-dnaX RNA". The record is from Rfam by way of RNAcentral.